Long non-coding RNA from Pseudophryne corroboree (corroboree frog), 436 nucleotides. RefSeq lists it as uncharacterized. The record is from RefSeq and is a predicted model, not a curated record. The transcript has 2 exons. NCBI's taxonomy places the organism in Eukaryota, Metazoa, Chordata, Amphibia, Anura, Myobatrachidae.
ACCCCAGCGGCAGUUUAACUUCAAACACCACCAGAUACAUGGCCGCAUGGUAGGCUGCAGCUGCACUAGCCACCCUGUACUGCAUAGUGUCUCAGCGCUCCACGUGACAGCACACCGCUUGAUGUCCUAUGUGCCGACCUCACCACCUCAAUCUUAUGCAGCAGAGUGUGAACUCAUCUCCAUGAGGGCAGCCCAGACAGCCGAGUGACUGAUCCUGCAGUGCUGCUGACUGGUGAUCGGGAUGUCAGGUCCUGCUGGCUGCUACUGAUCACCAAGCCUCAGAUAGUGCUCCCAUAAAAGGUUACUGGCUUCAAAGAGAAAGAUUCUCAAAGAGAAAGAGACAGGAUAAAACAAGAACGUGUGAGGAAAGAUGAAGACACAGCUCAACAAAGAGAAAAUAAAGAACAAGUACAAUAAAAUGAUUUAAACACUCAAA